This 309-nucleotide long non-coding RNA is filed under the name Capsicum annuum. RNAcentral describes it as "long non-coding RNA (CANN_LNC010888)". The record is from RNAcentral. Lineage: Eukaryota; Viridiplantae; Streptophyta; Magnoliopsida; Solanales; Solanaceae.
UCAUCAUCCCUCGGCCUCUUGUCACUCCUUCCAACUGAGUUCAUAUUUCCCUAUAGUAUAAUGAUGGCAAAUAAGAAUUCUAUUUUAAACCUCCUAAAGCAGGAUAAAAAUAAUUUUCGAAAGAAGUUGACGAAACGACACGGAAUAAGAUUUCAAAAUGAGCAUGAGAAAAUAAUAACUGACAAAACAGGAAGUAUCCAAGUCUUCUAAAACAUCCUAGAAUAGAAACAAUAAUUUGAUGACGUUUGAACCAGACAUAUCAGAAAUAAUUAAAUUAUUAAAACAAAAUAGUGGACCAAAUUAUUUAAN